GUGGCUCAGCGGUAGAGCACUUGCCUUGCACGCACAAGACCCUGGGUUCGAUCCUCAGC
Molecule: transfer RNA, 59 nt
Filed under: Ictidomys tridecemlineatus (thirteen-lined ground squirrel)
Lineage: Eukaryota; Metazoa; Chordata; Mammalia; Rodentia; Sciuridae
Description: Spermophilus tridecemlineatus (thirteen-lined ground squirrel) tRNA
Rfam family: tRNA
About the family: Transfer RNA (tRNA) molecules are approximately 80 nucleotides in length. Their secondary structure includes four short double-helical elements and three loops (D, anti-codon, and T loops). Further hydrogen bonds mediate the characteristic L-shaped molecular structure. tRNAs have two regions of fundamental functional importance: the anti-codon, which is responsible for specific mRNA codon recognition, and the 3' end, to which the tRNAs corresponding amino acid is attached (by aminoacyl-tRNA synthetases). tRNAs cope with the degeneracy of the genetic code in two manners: having more than one tRNA (with a specific anti-codon) for a particular amino acid; and 'wobble' base-pairing, i.e. permitting non-standard base-pairing at the 3rd anti-codon position.
Source: Rfam by way of RNAcentral